Long non-coding RNA from Bos indicus x Bos taurus (hybrid cattle), 418 nucleotides. The record is from Ensembl. Lineage: Eukaryota; Metazoa; Chordata; Mammalia; Artiodactyla; Bovidae.
CAAGAGGCAUCCUGUGUGACCUCACUCACCCCUUCCUCCACCCUUUGUUGAUCUGGCCUUUAAGCAUGUAGUUGUAGACAGAGGCUCCCCAGUGUCUCUGCUGCAGUCCACCUGAGAAGGGCAGAUGAUCCUUCUGCAAGGGAAAGGAAAAAAAGAAAAACCUUGAAUGUGAUAAAAUCGAUGGUGCCUGCAAGUAUCAGAACAUCCAUGGGUGUGUCAUCCUGCCUGGAGAAUGCAAGAGUCAGAAGAAACACUGCUGCAUCGUCUAGUUUCAGCAUCGGAGCAUCCACAGCAGCAGCAGACACUCCCCACAGUCUCAGCUCACACAUGGCCUUCACUGGGAAGACAUGCUUCAUUCACCCAACUUGUGUAAGAGAAGAGACUGGUUCCAUGGCCUCAGCUACCAGUACAGUUUCUA